RNA transcript from Hyalella azteca, 4559 nucleotides. It is a transcript of the gene named aminopeptidase O-like, with no coding region annotated. The transcript has 3 exons. Lineage: Eukaryota; Metazoa; Arthropoda; Malacostraca; Amphipoda; Hyalellidae. The record is from RefSeq and is a predicted model, not a curated record.
CUUGCAGAUUUUUGUAAAAUGCAAACUGUACUGUAGUUGUUGAAUUUUUUCAAUUCCAGUAUUGUCUAGCAAUAAAAGUUAUCAUGGACUUAAUAGUUUGAAAAUAAAAUUAUUACCACAUUUGAGCAUGGAUUUCACAAAAGUUUAGAAACUUGCCAGUAUUUCAUGUGGUAAAAGAGCCCUCUGAAUUAAUGAUGCUGCUAGACUAUUAACCUCUAUGGCUGUCAUUGCCAAUACCACUGUAAUGUUGCAGUGGAGUAAAAAUUUGUGUGAGCUUUCCUAGAUAUUGUGGAAAUCUGAAAAAUUACCUUUUUGUGAGCAAAAUAUAAAUCUUGGUAAUUAUUAUUGAUUAUUGAAAGUUUCACAGUAUCAUUUAGAGCAGAAAAUGGUGGAAAACAAAUCAAUUUCAUCAAGCAAUUUAAAAGAAAAGCAACUCAAAAUUCUCAAAUUGAACUGCCCAUAAUUCACUCUAAAAUGAGUUCAUUGCUAGAGAACCAUCUUCCACUCUCAUCAAACUCAAGUGACAUCAAAGCAAGUCACUACAUAUUGUGUAUGCAGCCUGACUUUGAUACCAAAACCAUUUCUGCAAAGCUGUUCAUCCUAUGUACAUUACCCAUUGCUUGUGAACCCAUGGAACAACCUGGUUUGCUACCCAAAAGAUUGGCAGACUCUGUUGAAGAUAAUAUGGCUCAUGGGGUUUUGGAUAUGAACAAUAUUUCCAUCAAAUCUAUUUCUUUAGUAUUAUGUGAUGAAAAGGACCUUUUAUCUUACUGGAAUCCAGCUAUUGUAAGGAACAAUCCUGUUUUGACUAAGCAUUUCUUUGCAUCUGGUAGAAAUUAUAUUGAAUUUGAAGAGACAACUUGGUUCAUUCAUUUCAAAUGUCCUAGAAAAUCUCCAUUUCUUAUCUGCAUUGAGUAUGUCACCUCAAAUGCUGGUGUUUCAAUAUCCUGGAGAGAAGAUGAGCAAGGCAAUCCUUGUUUCUUCACAUGCGGUUCUGCAAUCAACAAUCGCUCUUUACUUCCAUACCAGGAUACCCCAAGUGCUCUUGCUACAUGGGAAGCAUUUGUUGUUGUUGAAGACAAAUAUUCUGUUUCAAUGAGCAGUGAUGGAAGUGCAGUUGACAUACCAAUAGACACAGAUCUUCUCAGAUUAUUUAAUACAGAACCAUUUUCCAAUAAUUUUAUGAGUAAUUGUAAGGAUACAAAACCAAAGAAAUGUUUGUAUUUUUAUUGUUCACUCUCUUUGCCUCUUGCCACUAUGGCCAUUGCGGUUGGAGUUUGGUCUGUAGAAACAUUAAAUUGUGCAAAAAUAUCACAGAAAGAAGCUGAAAGAAAAAUGUUGCCCAACUGUUACCCUGAAGAUAUAACUGAAUCUUGUUUACAUGGUGGAACCCAUGCUUUUAACUCUGAAUUUGUGAAUAACAAGGAUACAAGUCACCCCAUGAAACUGCCAGUGCCUGGACUUGAUAUCAACGAUGUACUUCAUAACAAUGAACUUCAGUCUUCCGUCCCUGUGAGUGGCAAACGUUCCUCGGAGAGUACUUCCAAACCUAGUGGAUCUGUUGGAAAUCUUCCAUCUUCUUUGGUGUAUCCAACAUCUUUGAGCCAUCGUUUGGAGCCUCUCAGGCAGUUCCUACCACAUUGCCUUGCUGCUGCAGAAGAGCUGCUUGGUCCUCAUCCAUGUCCCCGCCUUGAGAUAGUAGUUCUGCCUCAAAGCUAUGCUUCACUAGGACUGGCAUCACCCAAUCUAAUAUUUCUUGCUCAAUGUAUUGCCACUGCAGCUGAUUCUUCCAUGUUCUUGAGGAUAGCUCAUGAGAUAAGUCAUGCAUGGUUCGGGAUCAUCAUUGGUGCUGAAGACUGGACCGAGGAAUGGUUGAGUGAAGGAUUUGCAACAAUGGCUGAAGAACUCAUUUAUGAGAAAGCCUACAGAUCUUUUCAAAUUUCAUUGUUAUCAGGAAACAGAAUGUUGGAACAGUGUGAUGAAAAUCUUGCAUUCACAGGUGAAACUUGCAAGACUCUUUCUCAAAUUACACACUCGCGCUUACAUGAAGAACCAACAUGCAAUUCAAAUUUCCCUUUUGAGAAAGGCCGAUCUGAAUCUAAUGCUAUCAUUCACCUCCGUGAUAAAGUAACGAUGAGUGAUUCUAAUUCUACUGCAAGUUUCAACAAUUUUGAAUUAAUUCUUUCAGAUUCACAUGUUCACAAGCGUUUGAAAAUUCAAAAUUCGGCCGGUGAAGACAUCAGGCUGACCCGCCCCAAUUUGGAUUCCUCUUCAUGGAAAAAUACUAUAGCUUCAUGUAGCGCUGAUACAAUACUGGAACUGAAGGAAAUACGAAUUUAUCUCCGUUAUCGCAAAUUAGUACAAGAAAUAGAAGUCAGUGAAGAGAGUUUACAGACUCUGCAGCCUAAUGCAGGUGGCUCUGUUGAAAGUACAAAUUACGUACUUAAUGGGCUCCAGCGCGAUAAGCCUUUCCUGAACGUGCACUAUCUCAAAGGAUUUUUCUUAUUGAGGAAUUUGUGUGAUAAAGUUGGAGAUAGUAACUUUAAGAUUUUCAUAAAAAACUAUGUUUCAAAAUUUAGUGGCCACCUCGUCACCUCUGAUAAAUUCGCUGAUCACUUUUUCAGUUUUUUCCCAAAUAUCUCCGAGUCAAAGAGCAAAUUACUUUCUGACUGGCUUCAAAAACCUGGAAUCAAUGAUGAGCUCAAGCAAACUUUCGGACAAUUUGAGAACCCCCUUUCGAAAGCUCACUGUGAAUUUUGGCUCAAUUUCAACCGCAAACCGAAGACUAUAAAAAACCACCAAAGUAUCCCUGAACUAGAGCAGUUAGUCUAUCCCGAACAUCUACAACUAUUUUGUGAAUAUCUUUUGGAAACUGAGCAGCGUUUGUGUAAAACGACAAUGCUUUCUAUUGAUCAAACUUACAACUUAUCCCAUCAAAACUGUGAAGUAUGUCACGCUUGGUGCGAGCUCAUCAUAAAACAUGACCACAGGCCGGGUGCAGCAUGCGUCAAGAAGUUUCUUGUCGAGGCGCAGGCAAUGGGCAUUUAUCUUUACGGCGAGCUCAUGAUUUCUGGUACUAAGUUCUGGCAAAACUUAGCUCGAUCUACUUACGCAUCUCUGAAAGACUCUAUGGAAGAAAACACUCGACUUAACAUCGAGGAGAUGCUGUAUCCCCAGUGAAUCGAGACUAUCGCUGCUACGUUUUGACAGUUUGGUGGCCUGGAUGCUUCUGGUCUUGGAUCCGUCACACGUGAAGAAGCUGCUUUGGUAAACGAGUUACUGGAAAAAUAGGCGACUUGUUGAUGAGUUCCCCGAAGAUACAACCCGCCGCCCAGAUGUCGACGCCCUCCGUGUACUGCCGUGCCCCGUACAGCAGCUCAGGCGCGCGGUACCAACGCGUCGCUACCUGCGGCCAGAGACGAGGGUAGAACUAUACUCGUGACCUGAGUGCUGUGAAAAACUGACCUAUAACAUCUCCUCCCAGCGCGUCGCUACCUGCAGCCAGAGACGAGGGUAGAACUAUACUUGUGACCUGAGUGCUGUGAAAAACUGUCCUAUAACAUCUCCUCCCAGCGCGUCGCUACUUGCGGCCAGAGACGAGGGUAGAACUAUACUUGUGACCUGAGUGCUGUGAAAAACUGUCCUAUAACAUCUCCAACCAGCGCGUUGCUACCUGCGGCCAGAGACGAGGAUAGAACUAUACUUGUGACCUGAGUGCAGUGACAAACUGACCUAUAACAUCUCCAACCAGCGCGUUGCUACCUGCGGCCAGAGACGAGGAUAGAACUAUACUUGUGACCUGAGUGCAGUGACAAACUGACCUAUAACAUCUCCAACCAGCGCGUCGCUACCUGCGGCCAGAGACGAGGGUGGAACUAUACUUGUGACCUGAGUGUUCUGAAAAACUGACCUAUUACAUCUCCUCCCGCCCCUCCCCAACACUACUUUACUAGUCGUCACUACUAGGAUGGGUUAUGACGUGACUGAGAGUUCAAACUCUGUCCUAUGCUGUCACUUUGAUUACCUGCGGCCUUGAUAUCAAAAAAUGAAUAAAAACGGCUUUUCAAGCUAAACCCACCUAGCAUAGCCGAGCAAUCCGCCGCUACCGUACUUCGGCCGCUAUGUGUUCUUUAGUAAGUUCUUGUAAUACGGCUUCAUGUUCUUAGAUGAGAGUAGCAUUGACGAUGGUGAAUAUACUGCUAGAUGCAAAGAUUAAAUUAUAGCAAUUUUUCUUCGUUAUUAUUUGAAGAAAAUAUUAAUAUAUUUUUCUUCAAAAUAUCCGAUAGAAUGAAAGUUCUAUUCUUCCUACUUAUUUGCUUAAUAAGUCUUCAUAAAUGCUCCUAGUGCAUGAAAAAUCGACCAUUGGAUGCAAGGAUCGAAGUUCAAGAAAAUUGUGGCUGCUUCGGAUGAGAAUUUACACGAAAUUUUCUAUAUAAUUUCCAGUGAGAUGUGAGGGAUGAAAUCUCUAUGAGCAUGAAUAAAAUAAACAAUAGAAUAAUUUAAGCUUCAUCUCUAAUAGCGGCAAUGACUUCAACCUGUCAGUCUGGUUCUAAAUGUUG